CCUACGGGUGGCAGCAGUGGGGGAUAUUGCACAAUGGGGGAAACCCUGAUGCAGCGACGCCGCGUGGGUGAAGAAGUAUCUCGGUGUGUAAAGCUCUGUCAGCAGGGAAGAAAAUGACGGUACCUGAAUAAGAAGCCCCGGCUAACUACGUGCCAGCAGCCGCGGUAAUACGUAGGGGGCAAGCGUUAUCCGGAUUUACUGGGUGUAAAGGGGGCGUAGACGGCGAUGCAAGUCGGAAGUGAAAGCCCGGGGCCCAACCCCGGGACUGCUUUUGAAACUGGGUGGCUGGAGUGCUGGAGAGGCAAGCGGAAUUCCUGGUGUAGCGGUGAAAUGCGUAGAUAUCAGGAAGAACACCGGUGGCGAAGGCGGCCUGCUGGACAGUAACUGACGUUGAGGCUCGAAAGCGUGGGGAGCAAACAGGAUUAGAUACCCUUGUAGUC
This 440-nucleotide ribosomal RNA is filed under the name uncultured bacterium. RNAcentral describes it as "partial 16S ribosomal RNA". It matches the Rfam family "Bacterial small subunit ribosomal RNA", at positions 338 to 795 of the family's 1533-position model. The record is from RNAcentral.